Long non-coding RNA from Oncorhynchus mykiss (rainbow trout), 1899 nucleotides. NCBI's taxonomy places the organism in Eukaryota, Metazoa, Chordata, Actinopteri, Salmoniformes, Salmonidae. The record is from Ensembl.
AUGUUGUCCUGUCUCUCUGUCCGUCCGUCCCUCUCUCUGUCCGUCCCCCUCUCUCUCUCUCUCUGUCCGCCCCUCUCUCUCUCUGUCCGCCCCUCUCUCUCUCUCUCUGUCCGCCCCUCUCUCUCUCUCUCUGUCCGUCCGUCCCUCUCUCUCUGUCCGUCCGUCCCUCUCUCUGCCCGUCCCUCUCUCUGUCCGUCCCUCUCUCUCUGUCCGUCUGCCCCUCUCUCUCUGUCCGUCUCUCCCUCUCUCUCUCUCUUUCCCUGUCUGUCCCUCUUUCCCUCUCUGUCCCUCUCUAUGUCGGUCUCUCCCUCUCUCUGUCUCUCUGUCCGUCCCUCUCUCUUUCUGUCCGUCCCUCUCUCUCUCUGUCUGUCCCUCUCUCUCUCUCUGUCCGUCCCUCUCUCUCUCUGUCUGUCCCUCUCUCUCUCUGUCCGUCCCUCUCUCUCUGUCCGUCCCUCUCUCUCUCUCUGUCCGUCCCUCUCUGUCGCUCUCUCUGUCCGCCCCUCUCUCUCUGUCCGUCCCUCUCUCUCUCUGUCCCCCCGCCCCUCUCUCUCUGUUCGCCCUUCUCUCUCUCUGUCUGUCCCUCUCUCUCCCUCUCUGUCCGUCCCUCUCUCUCUGUCUCUCUCUCUCUGUCCGUCCGUCCCUCUCUCUCUCUGUCCGCCGCUUUCUCUCCCUCUCUGUCCGCCCCUUUCUCUCUCUCUGUCCGUCCCUCUCUCUCUGUCUCUCUCUCUCGGUCCGCCCCUCUCUCUCUCUCGCUGUCCGCCCUUUUCUCUCCCUCUCUGUCCGUCCCUCUCUCUCUGUCUCUCUCUCUCGGUCCGCCCCUCUCUCUCUCUCGCUGUCCAACCCUCUCUCUCUGUCUCUCUCUCUCUGUCCGCCCCUCUCUCUCUCUGUCCGUCCCUCUCUCUCUCUGUCCGUCCCUUUCUCUCUCUGUCUCUGUCUCUCUCUCUGUCCAUCCCUUUCUCUCUCUGUCCGUCCCUCUCGCUCUCUCUCUGUCCGUCCCUCUCUCUCUCUGUCCGUCCCUCUCUCUCUCUCUGUCCGUCCCUCUCUCUCUCUCUGUCCGUCCCUCUCUCUCUCUGUCCGUCCCUCUCUCUCUCUCUGUCCGUCCCUCUCUCUCUGUGUCCGUCCCUCUAUCUGUCCGUCCCUCUCUCUCUCUCUGUCCCUCUCUCUCUCUGUCUGUCCCUCUCUCUCUCUGUCCGUCCCUCUCUCUCUCUGUCCGUCCCUCUCUCUCUCUCUGUCCGUCCCUCUCUGUCUCCCUCUCUGUCCGCCCCUCUCUCUCUGUCCGUCCCUCUCUCUCUCUGUCCCCCCGCCCCUCUCUCUCUGUUCGCCCUUCUCUCUCUCUGUCUGUCCCUCUCUCUCCCUCUCUGUCCGUCCCUCUCUCUCUCUCUGUCUCUCUCUCUCUGUCCAUCCCUCUCUCUCUGUCUCUCUCUCUCGGUCCGCCCCUCUCUCUCUCUCUGUCCGUCCCUCUCUCUCUCUCUCUGUCCGCCCCUCUCUCUCUGUCCGCCCCUCUCUCUCUGUCCGCCCCUCUCUCUCUGUCCGUCCCUCUCUCUCUGUCCGUCCCUCUCUCUCUGUCCGUCCCUCUCUCUCUCUCUGUCCGUCCCUCUCUCUCUCUGUCCGUCCCUCUCUCUCUGUCCGUCCCUCUCUCUCUGUCCGUCCCUCUCUCUCUGUCCGUCCCUCUCUCUCUCUGUCCGUCCCUCUCUCUCUCUGUCCGUCCCUCUCUCUCUCUGUCCGCCCCUCUCUCUCUCUCUGUCCUUCCCUCUAUCGCUCUGUCCGUCGUUCUCUCGCUCUCUCCGUCCCUCUCUCAAAUUCAAAUUCAAAUUCAAGCUGCUUUAUUGGCAUGAAAAACAUUGUGUCAAUAUUGCCAAAGCAACAAUGUAUACAAUAUACAUUGUAACAAAAUUAUAA